This is a long non-coding RNA of Carcharodon carcharias (great white shark), 388 nucleotides long. RefSeq lists it as uncharacterized. Lineage: Eukaryota; Metazoa; Chordata; Chondrichthyes; Lamniformes; Lamnidae. The record is from RefSeq and is a predicted model, not a curated record. The transcript is spliced from 3 exons.
AUAGAAGCAAUACUAGAGCACUGGGAUGUCUGCACACAAGUGCCUGACUAAAGUGACUUUAAACUGAAGCAUGUUUCUUUGUAUAAUUAAUGGAACUUCCUGCUCCCUUCCCUUCUCAGCUUGUAGUAAAACUAAACAAGGCACUGUACAGCUUGAAGAAAAUUCAUAAGAGUCUAUUCUGGCAUCUGAACUGCCACCCAAGUCUCUCUGAUUUUGGGUCAGCAGUUAAGUCGAGCAUAAGAGCAAUGUGACUGAGGGCAUCAUUGUUAGUUCCACAUCAAGAAAUCUAACGAAAAGAUAGGUUGCAUGUGGAAUGAGACCAGAUAAUGGAACAGAGUGAAAUGAGCCUAUAUACAACUGUGAAAAUAACAGAAAAGGGUAUUUUUUU